UACGUAGGUGGCAAGCGUUGUCCGGAUUUAUUGGGUUUAAAGGGUGCGUAGGCGGCUUUGUAAGUCAGUGGUGAAAUAUGGCAGCUCAACUGUCAAGGUGCCAUUGAUACUGCGGAGCUUGAGUACAGAUGAGGUAGGCGGAAUUGACGGUGUAGCGGUGAAAUGCUUAGAUAUCGUCAAGAACACCUAUAGCGAAGGCAGCUUACUAGGCUGUAACCGACGCUGAGGCACGAAAGUGUGGGGAUCAAACAGG
Molecule: ribosomal RNA, 253 nt
Filed under: uncultured bacterium
Lineage: Bacteria
Description: partial 16S ribosomal RNA
Rfam family: Bacterial small subunit ribosomal RNA
Source: RNAcentral